ACCUGCUGGGCUGGAGCUGGAGCUGGAGCUGCGAAUUCGGAGUCCCGGUUCCCUGUGCCACCUGGCGAGCUCAGCAAACUAAAAGUCUCUUUGUCUUCAUCGUUUCCGGCACUGAUGUGAGCACAUCAUAAGCACAAGACCUGGACACCUUUACAAUCAGAGGUAGCAUCUGUCUGGAACUGUAUCUUGACUCUCACUGGUGCUUUUCCUUUGGUUGAUGCAAAGCUUUUGAAUCCUUUAGGGAGAUGUCAUUGGCCUAGGACUGGAGCUCUGGAUCUGACCGGAGCAAAGAGGAAGCACGCAAAUCCGGACAUGACGACGAGGAGGCAGUAGAGACCCAUCCUCAACUACCCCCUGAGUGCCGAUCCCACCUGUGAAAGGGGAGGAGCAGAUCUGGGGAAGGGAUAUGCCCAGAGGAAAUCAACAAGACCAAAGAGACGUCAGAGUCCUGAUGGCCAAAAUCAGACACCAGCUUUCCUGAGAAGGCAGAAGAGAGAGCCCCAUAGAAGCAGUGGGGGCUCAGAAGGUGCCCUUGUUGAGCUGCUUGAGGCAGAAGGCACAGACGAAGUGCUCGGGGUGGAACUUCUUGGCCAUGGCGGUGAUGCAGCGGCCGGUGAUGGGCUUCUGGCAGCCAGAACACAGCGAGCCGCGCCGCUCGUGGUAGUGCACCUCACAGUAGGGCUGCCCGUCGUGCUCGAAGAAGCUGCCGUUCACGAAUGGCGUGAAGCAUUCCUGCCAGGCGGAGAGAGGGGCUCAGGGAGCUGCCCCUCGGGCUAGAGCUGCACCCUGUGUGAUGGGGCCGAGGUGGGCAUAGUCGGCACGCUCGGAGUGACUCCUACUUGCUAGGCGUUUCCCAUGUGCCGUGUUGUCCUAAACGCUCAUUUUUCAUUUUUAUUUUAUUAAAUAAAUUUUUUUUGUAGA
Molecule: long non-coding RNA, 921 nt
Filed under: Homo sapiens (human)
Lineage: Eukaryota; Metazoa; Chordata; Mammalia; Primates; Hominidae
Description: PXN antisense RNA 1
Source: RNAcentral